Molecule: ribosomal RNA, 697 nt
Filed under: Bacillus sp. LAMA 692
Lineage: Bacteria; Bacillati; Bacillota; Bacilli; Caryophanales; Bacillaceae
Description: bacterial SSU rRNA
Rfam family: Bacterial small subunit ribosomal RNA
Source: RNAcentral
AGUCGAGCGAUCUGAGGGAGCUUGCUCCAAAGAUUAGCGGCGGACGGGUGAGUAACACGUGGGCAACCUGCCUGUAAGACUGGGAUAACUCCGGGAAACCGGGGCUAAUACCGGAUAAUAUCUAUUUAUACAUAUAAUUAGAUUGAAAGAUGGUUCUGCUAUCACUUACAGAUGGGCCCGCGGCGCAUUAGCUAGUUGGUGAGGUAACGGCUCACCAAGGCGACGAUGCGUAGCCGACCUGAGAGGGUGAUCGGCCACACUGGGACUGAGACACGGCCCAGACUCCUACGGGAGGCAGCAGUAGGGAAUCUUCCGCAAUGGACGAAAGUCUGACGGAGCAACGCCGCGUGAGUGAUGAAGGUUUUCGGAUCGUAAAACUCUGUUGUUAGGGAAGAACAAGUACCGGAGUAACUGCCGGUACCUUGACGGUACCUAACCAGAAAGCCACGGCUAACUACGUGCCAGCAGCCGCGGUAAUACGUAGGUGGCAAGCGUUGUCCGGAAUUAUUGGGCGUAAAGCGCGCGCAGGCGGUUCCUUAAGUCUGAUGUGAAAGCCCACGGCUCAGCCGUGGAGGGUCAUUGGAAACUGGGGAACUUGAGUGCAGAAGAGGAAAGUGGAAUUCCCAGUGUAGCGGUGAAAUGCGUAUAGAUUUGGAGGAACACCAGUGGCAAAUGCGACUUUCUGGUCUGUAACUGA